Molecule: ribosomal RNA, 211 nt
Filed under: uncultured Staphylococcus sp.
Lineage: Bacteria; Bacillati; Bacillota; Bacilli; Caryophanales; Staphylococcaceae
Description: partial 16S ribosomal RNA
Rfam family: Bacterial small subunit ribosomal RNA
Source: RNAcentral
CGGGAAACCGGAGCUAAUACGGAUAAUAUAUUGAACCGCAUGGUUCAAUAGUGAAAGACGGUUUUGCUGUCACUUAUAGAUGGAUCCGCGCCGCAUUAGCUAGUUGGUAAGGUAACGGCUUACCAAGGCAACGAUGCGUAGCCGACCUGAGAGGGUGAUCGGCCACACUGGAACUGAGACACGGUCCAGACUCCUACGGGAGGCAGCAGCG